CGUCGAUACAACCAAGCCAAUCAAAUCCCACCUUGCCUUCCUCCCUCCUCCUCCUCCACUCCGUCUCUCAUCAGAUUCCAAACACCGCGUCCGUCGUGAGCGCCGCGUGCCCGCGGGAUCCCCAAACCCCGGCCCCCGAUCCCCGAGCCGGCCCAUGCUUCCCUCCGCCGCGGCCCCGCCCACCCCCGCCGCCGCUCCCCUCCGCCGCUGUUGUAGCCUCCGCGCCCCGUGCUGUUGUUGCUGGUGCUGUUCCUGAGCUGUGUGUGAUUGGCUAGGGUUGCGGUUCUGCGCGAGGCGAUUUGGGGAGGAUUUCGGAGGAAGGCAUGGAUCUCUCGCGGCCGGAGUCGUCGGACCUCUCGCUCGGGCUCCACCCGCACGCCCACGCCCAUGCGCGCGUGCACGCGCGCGCCGCCACGCCGCUGCGGCUGUUCGACGACUCGGACGACGUCAAGACGGAGGGCAGCGUCGGGGGCGGCGGCGACGGCGAGGACGGGAACGACGAGGGCGCCGACCAGCACUUCUCGCUCCUCGGCCACUCGCUCUGCGUCAAGCGCCCGCGCCGCGGGCUCUACGGCGGCGGCGGGGGAGGGGAGACCUCCUCCUGCUCGUCCUCGUCCGCGGCGGCCAUGCGCCCCGCGAAGCGCCAGGCGUCGGGCGCGGAUCUGGAGGCGCGGCGCAGCGCGGUCCGCGCGUGGGGGAACCAGCCGCUCGCGGAGGCCGACCCGGACGUGCACGCGCUCAUGGAGCGCGAGAGGGAGCGCCAGGUGCGCGGCAUCGAGCUCAUCGCCUCGGAGAACUUCGUCUGCCGCGCCGUGCUCGACGCCCUCGGCAGCCACCUCACCAACAAGUACUCCGAGGGGCACCCGGGCGCUCGCUACUACGGCGGGAACCAGCACAUCGACGCCAUCGAGCGGCUCUGCCAUGAGCGCGCCUGCACCGCCUUCGGUCUCGACCCGGCCUGCUGGGGUGUCAAUGUCCAGCCCUACUCAUGCACCUCCGCGAACCUGGCGGUCUACACAGGGCUUCUCCUACCCAAUGACCGUAUCAUGGGCCUUGAGCCGCCGUCCGGUGGCCAUGUCAGCCACGGGUAUUACACGCCUAGUGGUAAGAAGGUGUCUGGCGCCUCGAUAUUCUUUGAGAGCUUGUCAUACAAGGUGAAUCCACAGACUGGCUAUAUUGAUUAUGACAAGCUUGAGGACCGGGCAAUGGAUUUCCACCCAAAGAUUCUUAUCUGUGGUGGGAGUUCCUACCCCAGGGAGUGGGACUUUGCACGGAUGAGGCUGAUAGCUGACAAGUGUGGCGCAGUGCUCAUGUGCGACAUGGCGCAUAUUAGCGGACUUGUUGCAGCGAAGGAAUGUCGCAGUCCAUUCGACUACUGUGACGUUGUUACCUCAACUACUCACAAGAACCUAAGGGGUCCUAGAGGUGGAAUAAUAUUUUUUAGGAAAGGGAAGAAUAUGAGGAAGCGAGGUGGAUCUUUUUCUCAAGGGGAUGAAAAUGAUUAUGAUUUUGAGGAUAAGAUAAAUUUCGCUGUAUUCCCUUCACUGCAAGGAGGGCCGCAUAAUAACCAUAUUGCUGCUUUAGCGAUAACGCUGAAGCAAGUUGCGACGCCUGAAUAUAAAGCAUACAUUCAACAAGUUAAGAAAAAUGCUCAAGCUUUGGCAUCGGCCUUGCUCAGAAGAAAAUGCAGAUUGGUUACUGGUGGCACUGAUAAUCACUUGGUGCUUUGGGACCUCAGAACUUUUGGCUUGACCGGGAAGAACUUUGAGAAGGUCUGUGAGCUGUGCCACAUCUCUAUAAAUAAGACACCGAUAUAUGGGGAUAAUGGCUCAAUAUCUCCCGGUGGCGUGCGUAUUGGAACACCUGCAAUGACUACUAGAGGUUGCCUAGAAGAUGACUUCGAGGUGAUCGCAGACUUCCUCAUAAGGGCGACACAGAUAGCUGGUAGUGUUCUGAAACAACACGGAAAAGUCCAGAAGGAAUUUCUAAGAGGCCUGGAGAACAAUAAGGACAUUAUAGAGCUCGGUAACCAGGUUGAGGCUUUCGCAUCACAGUUUGCGAUGCCAGGUUUUGAUGUAUGACUCUGCAUAUAUAUUACAUCUUCUUGGGGAUUGUCCAGAUUUAUCAGCAAAUAGCAACUAUUUCGUUAUCAGGCUGUUCACACAAAAUGGGAAGUUGUUGCUCUCAACAGCAACAGUGUAGGAAACGAUUUUUUAGUUGGAAAUUGGUUUCGACUCUUUGACUCUCAAGCAAUCAUGUACAGGUCUAUACCCUAAAGUCCUUUUAUGAUUUAUGUAUGUAGUGAAUCUUCACGUAAUGAGUUCUUAUAUUGUAUGUUUUGUCGCGUUUUUGGAACCUGAAGUGUUAAUAGGC
RNAcentral lists this ribosomal RNA (2373 nucleotides) under Triticum aestivum (bread wheat). RNAcentral describes it as "partial small subunit ribosomal RNA". Lineage: Eukaryota; Viridiplantae; Streptophyta; Magnoliopsida; Poales; Poaceae. The record is from RNAcentral.